This 270-nucleotide ribosomal RNA is filed under the name uncultured bacterium. RNAcentral describes it as "partial 16S ribosomal RNA". It matches the Rfam family "Bacterial small subunit ribosomal RNA", at positions 84 to 353 of the family's 1533-position model. The record is from RNAcentral.
UUUGAUGGCGACCGGCGCACGGGUGAGUAACACGUAUCCAACCUGCCGAUGACUCGGGGAUAGCCUUUCGAAAGAAAGAUUAAUACCCGAUGGCAUAGUUCUUACGCAUGGUGGAACUAUUAAAGAAUUUCGGUCAUCGAUGGGGAUGCGUUCCAUUAGGUUGUUGGCGGGGUAACGGCCCACCAAGCCUUCGAUGGAUAGGGGUUCUGAGAGGAAGGUCCCCCACAUUGGAACUGAGACACGGUCCAAACUCCUACGGGAGGCAGCAUG